CCCCGAUCAUGGCUCAGGAUGAACGCUAGCUACAGGCUUAACACAUGCAAGUCAGGGGCAUCAGUUUGGUUUGCUUGCAAACCAAAGCUGGCGACCGGCGCACGGGUGAGUAACACGUAUCCAACCUGCCUCAUACUCGGGGAUAGCCUUUCGAAAGAAAGAUUAAUAUCCGAUAGCAUAUAUUUCCCGCAUGGGUUUUAUAUUAAAGAAAUUCGGUAUGAGAUGGGGAUGCGUUCCAUUAG
Molecule: ribosomal RNA, 242 nt
Filed under: uncultured bacterium
Lineage: Bacteria
Description: partial 16S ribosomal RNA
Rfam family: Bacterial small subunit ribosomal RNA
Source: RNAcentral